This 1401-nucleotide ribosomal RNA is filed under the name metagenome. Its description in RNAcentral is "bacterial SSU rRNA". It matches the Rfam family "Bacterial small subunit ribosomal RNA". The record is from RNAcentral.
GCAGCGCGGGAGCAAUCCUGGUGGCGAGUGGCGAACGGGUGAGUAAUGUAUCGGAACGUACCUUUCAGUGGGGGAUAACGUAGCGAAAGUUACGCUAAUACCGCAUAUUCUGUGAGCAGGAAAGCAGGGGAUCGCAAGACCUUGCGCUGAUUGAGCGGCCGAUAUCAGAUUAGCUAGUUGGUGAGGUAAAGGCUCACCAAGGCGACGAUCUGUAGCGGGUCUGAGAGGAUGAUCCGCCACACUGGAACUGAGACACGGUCCAGACUCCUACGGGAGGCAGCAGUGGGGAAUUUUGGACAAUGGGCGCAAGCCUGAUCCAGCCAUGCCGCGAGAGUGAAGAAGGCCUUCGGGUUGUAAAGCUCUUUCAGCCGGGAAGAAAACGCAUGGGUUAAUACCCUGUGUGGAUGACGGUACCGGAAUAAGAAGCACCGGCUAACUACGUGCCAGCAGCCGCGGUAAUACGUAGGGUGCGAGCGUUAAUCGGAAUUACUGGGCGUAAAGCGUGCGCAGGCGGUUUGUUAAGAUAGGCGUGAAAUCCCCGGGCUCAACCUGGGAACUGCGUUUAUGACUGGCAAGCUAGAGUAUGGCAGAGGGGGGUGGAAUUCCACGUGUAGCAGUGAAAUGCGUAGAGAUGUGGAGGAACACCGAUGGCGAAGGCAGCCCCCUGGGCCAAUACUGACGCUCAUGCACGAAAGCGUGGGUAGCAAACAGGAUUAGAUACCCUGGUAGUCCACGCCCUAAACGAUGUCAACUAGGUGUUGGGAGGGUAAAACCUUUUAGUACCGGAGCUAACGCGUGAAGUUGACCGCCUGGGGAGUACGGCCGCAAGGUUAAAACUCAAAGGAAUUGACAGGGACCCGCACAAGCGGUGGAUGAUGUGGAUUAAUUCGAUGCAACGCGAAAAACCUUACCUACCCUUGACAUGUCCGGAAGCCCUUAGAGAUUUGGGUGUGCUCGAAAGAGAGCCGGAACACAGGUGCUGCAUGGCUGUCGUCAGCUCGUGUCGUGAGAUGUUGGGUUAAGUCCCGCAACGAGCGCAGCCCUUGUCGUUAAUUGCCAUCAUUUAGUUGGGCACUUUAACGAGACUGCCGGUGACAAACCGGAGGAAGGUGGGAUGACGUCAAGUCCUCAUGGCCCUUAUGGGUAGGGCUUCACACGUCAUACAAUGGUCGGUACAAAGGGUCGCCAACCCGCGAGGGGGAGCCAAUCCCAAAAGCCGAUCGUAGUCCGGAUCGUAGGCUGCAACUCGCCUGCGUGAAGUCGGAAUCGCUAGUAAUCGUGGAUCAGCAUGUCACGGUGAAUUCGUUCCCGGGUCUUGUACACACCGCCCGUCACACCAUGGGAGCGGGUUCCGCCAGAAGUAGGUAGCCUAACCGCAAGGAGGGCGCUUACCACGGCGGG